Molecule: ribosomal RNA, 353 nt
Filed under: Mikrocytos sp. AR-2014
Lineage: Eukaryota; Endomyxa; Ascetosporea; Mikrocytida; Mikrocytiidae
Description: eukaryotic LSU rRNA
Rfam family: Eukaryotic large subunit ribosomal RNA
Source: RNAcentral
UCUUGGAACGUGCAGCCUUGGCGUUCUUUCUUCGGAAGAAUGUCAAGGUGGGAUACUCCCCUAACUUAAGCAUAUUAGUAGGGGAAGGAAACGAAAGCAAACGCGACGGGCCUAGUAGCGGCGAGCGAAAAGCCUAGUUCCCGCGCCGAAUCCCGUAAGGGAGUUGUGGUAGUCGGAGGGAGCAACCAUGGGGACGUUCUGUGAAGGACGGCGUAACCGGUAAAAGCCCGGAUUCCUUGGUUGCUUCUGUCAAACCGACGUGCAAGAGUAGCAGUGGUUGGUAGUGCACUGUGAAUGGGUGGUGCUUUCCAUCCAAGGAAACGUAUGUCUCCGAGACCGAUAGCGAACAAGUA